UUGGAAGCCUUGGUGAUUAAAGGGUGCUG
RNAcentral lists this non-coding RNA (29 nucleotides) under Homo sapiens (human). Lineage: Eukaryota; Metazoa; Chordata; Mammalia; Primates; Hominidae. The record is from RNAcentral.